GAUGAACGCUGGCGGUAUGCUUAACACAUGCAAGUCGAACGGACUCUUCGGAGUUAGUGGCGGACGGGUGAGUAACGCGUGAGAAUCUGGCUUUGGGUUCGGGACAACCACUGGAAACGGUGGCUAAUACCGGAUGUGCCGAGAGGUAAAAGAGAAAUUGCCUGAAGAUGAGCUCGCGUCUGAUUAGCUAGUUGGUGAGGUAAAGGCUCACCAAGGCAGCGAUCAGUAGCUGGUCUGAGAGGAUGACCAGCCACACUGGGACUGAGACACGGCCCAGACUACUACGGGAGGAAGCAGUGGGGAAUUUUCCGAAAGGGGCGAAAGCCUGACGGAGCAAUACCGCGUGAGGGAAGAAGGCUCUUGGGUUGUAAACCUCUUUUCUUAGGGAAGAACAAAAUGACGGUACCUAAGGAAUCAGCAUCGGCUAACUCCGUG
This 435-nucleotide ribosomal RNA is filed under the name uncultured bacterium. RNAcentral's name for it is "partial 16S ribosomal RNA". It matches the Rfam family "Bacterial small subunit ribosomal RNA", at positions 28 to 507 of the family's 1533-position model. The record is from RNAcentral.